This is a non-coding RNA of Schistosoma margrebowiei, 46 nucleotides long. NCBI's taxonomy places the organism in Eukaryota, Metazoa, Platyhelminthes, Trematoda, Strigeidida, Schistosomatidae. The record is from Rfam.
GCCCUGGUGAGGAGUCCCACAACAGGACGAAACGGCCGUCCAAUGC